GACGAACGCUGGCGGCGUGGAUUAGGCAUGCAAGUCGAACGGUAUCAUCCUUUCGGGGGUGAGAGAGUGGCGAACUGGUGAGUAACACGUAGGUUAUCUACCCUCAAGACGGGGACAACCCAGGGAAACUUGGGCUAAUACCGGAUGUGAGCAACUUUUAGUUGUUUGAAAGGUGGCGUAAGCUGUCGCUUGGGGAUGAGCCUGCGUCCUAUUAGUUAGUUGGUGAGGUAACGGCUCACCUAGGCAAUGAUAGGUAGGCGGCCUUAACGGGUGGUCGCCCACACUGGGAUUGAGAUACGGCCCAGACUCCUACGGGAGGCAGCAGUCGAGAAUAGUCUACAAUGGUCGGAAGACUGAUAGUGCGACGCCGCGUGAACGAUGAAUCCCUUCGGGGUGUAAAGUUCUUUUAUAUGUGAGCAGUGCCUCUUAUAUUAACAGUAUGGGGAGAGAGAUAUUAGCAUAUGAAUAAGCAACGGCUAACUCCGUGCCAGCAGCCGCGGUAAACUCGU
Molecule: ribosomal RNA, 509 nt
Filed under: uncultured bacterium
Lineage: Bacteria
Description: bacterial SSU rRNA
Rfam family: Bacterial small subunit ribosomal RNA
Source: RNAcentral